Long non-coding RNA from Corticium candelabrum, 239 nucleotides. RefSeq lists it as uncharacterized. The record is from RefSeq and is a predicted model, not a curated record. The transcript has 3 exons. NCBI's taxonomy places the organism in Eukaryota, Metazoa, Porifera, Homoscleromorpha, Homosclerophorida, Plakinidae.
CCGGGAACGUUCUGCAAAGGUAGUCACUGGUUUCUUUUCAGAAUGCUUGUUUUCGUGUUUCAACGGCGGUCAACCGAAUGGUGAAUGUACUGCCUGCAAGAACUGCUUGACCGAUCCUUUUCUCGCAAGAAUCUAUACCGCCACGCGUCAUCAGUGUCCUCAAACUUGCAAUUGUGGUAUAUGUCGAGACAUGGCGAAAAGUUCUAUUAGUAAAAGAGUACAAAAAGCGGGUACUUUGU